UCCCCUAGUAACUGCGAGUGAAGAGGGAAGAGCUCAAAUUUAAAAUCUGGCAGUUGUAUUAGCUGUCCGAGUUGUAAAUUAGAGAAGUGUUACCCGUGCUGGACUGUGUACAAGUCUCCUGGAAUGGAGCGUCAUAGAGGGUGAGAAUCCCGUCUUUGACACAGACUCCCAGUACAUUGUGGUACACUCUCAAAGAGUCGUGUUGUUUGGGAAUGCAGCACUAAAUGGGUGGUAAAUUCCAUCUAAAGCUAAAUAUUGGCGAGAGACCGAUAGCAAACAAGUACCGUGAGGGAAAGAUGAAAAGAACUUUGGAAAGAGAGUUAAACAGUACGUGAAAUUGUUGAAAGGGAAACGCUUAAAGUCCAGUCGCGUUGGUUAACAAUCAGUCUUGCUAUUAUUGCUUGAUGUACUUGAUAAUCAAUGGGUCAACAUCAGUUUUGAUUAUUGGAUAAAGGUUGAAGGAAUGUGGCAUUCACUUGUGGAUGUGUUAUAGCCUUUGAUUGUAUACAAUAGUUGGGACUGAGGAAACUCCCAGCAAUGGGUGAUGUUGGCAUAAUGGCUUUAAUCGACCCGUCUUGAAACACGGACCAAGGAGUCUAACAUGCAUGCGAGUAUUUGGGUGGAAAACCCAAGUGCGUAAUGAAAGUGAAAGUCAAGACCUUUUUUAGUGCAUUGACGCCCAGACUUGAUGUUUACUGACAGUUCUGCGGUAGAGCAUGUAUGUUGGGACCCGAAAGAUGGUGAACUAUGCCUGAAUAGGGUGAAGCCAGAGGAAACUCUGGUGGAAGCUCGUAGCGAUACUGACGUGCAAAUCGAUCGUCGAAUUUGGGUAUAGGGGCGAAAGA
This 845-nucleotide ribosomal RNA is filed under the name Pseudohiatula irrorata. RNAcentral describes it as "LSU rRNA". It matches the Rfam family "Eukaryotic large subunit ribosomal RNA", at positions 76 to 930 of the family's 3401-position model. The record is from RNAcentral. Lineage: Eukaryota; Fungi; Basidiomycota; Agaricomycetes; Agaricales; Physalacriaceae.